CCAAUCGAACUCGGAGAUAGCUGGUUCUCCUCGAAAUAGCUUUAGGGCUAGCGUCGUGUUAGUAGCACAUGGGGGUAGAGCUCUGUAAAGGACUGGGGCGGGCAACUGUACCCACCCUUAACAAACUACGAAUACCAUGUGUGUAAUCACGGCAGUUAGAACAUCGGUGCUAAGAUCGGUGCUCAAAAGGGAAACAGCCCAGACCAUCAUCUAAGGUCCCUAAAUUAACGUUCAGUGGGAAACAAGGUGAGAUUUCUUAAACAGCUAGGAUGUUGGCUUAGAAGCAGCCAUUCAUUUAAAGAGUGCGUAACAGCUCACUAGUCAAGAGAUCUUGCGUGGAAAAUGUAACGGGGCUAAAACGUUAUACCGAAGAUAUGGAUUACACGCUAAGUACAAAGUUAAAGUUGUGUUACAAUCAAUUUAUGGAAAAUGAGAUUUACAUAGGUAGCGUUUAUAAACACUAUAAAGGCAAUAAGUAUGUUGUUGUAAGUAUAGCUGUUCAUACUGAGACGCUUGAAGAGCUUGUAGUUUAUCGAGCCAUUUAUGGCGACGGAGAAUUAUGGGCUAGACCUAAGAAAAUGUUUUUGGAUAAUAUUGAAAAGAACGGAAAGAUCAUCCCAAGGUUUAAAUUGAUUAAGAAACUUUGAUUUUGUUCUUAGUGUGUAGUGGUAGAGGAGCGUUCCUAUCAGCAGUGAAGUCGAAUCGGAAGGUUCGGUGGAGCGGUAGGAAGUGAGAAUGCUGGAAUGAGUAACCAUAAGAGAGGUGAGAAUCCUCUCGGCCGUAAGAGCAAGGUUUCCUGAGCCAUGGUAAUCAUCUCAGGGUUAGUCGGGCCUAAGCCGAGGCGCAGAGCGUAGGCGAUGGACAUCAGGUUAAUAUUCCUGAACCGGUUAAGUUUUGUACACUGUUCACGGGGAAGUAAUCGAAGCGGAUUCAUGGUUUAUCCGUCCAACCGAGCGGGAACGCAAAGGGAGUGAAAGUGAUUCUUCGGAGUCGCGAUUUUGGUGAAAGCCCUGGCUAGAAAAGCAGGUGUACGCGUGGACUUAGCCGCCCGUACCGCAAACCAACACAGGUGCUCGAGUCGAGUAGACUCAGGCUUACGAGCGAACCUUCGCUAAGGAACUCGGCAAUACAGCGACCGUAACUUCGGGAUAAGGUCUGCCCCCACUUCGGUGGAUAUCAGCCGCGUUCACUCAGUGAAUAUUAGGUUAAAGAGUACAUUUUUAAUCACAAAACGAAUUUUCUGAGAUAGAGCAAACGAAUUGUUCUUUUGAACGCGAACCUCUGGCAUCUAACGAUGUGGGGGCCGCAGCAAAAGAGCCCACGGAACUGUUUAUCAAAAACACAGGUCUCUGCUAACACGAAAGUGGAUGUAUAGGGGCUGACUCCUGCCCAAUGCUGGAAGGUUAAGGGGAGCGCUUCACGGUGCGAACUGAAGCCCUAGUCAAUGGCGGCGGUAACUAUAACCGUCCUAAGGUAGCGAAAUUCCUUGUCAGGUAAGUUCUGACCCGCACGAAUGGAGUAAUCAUGUGGGCACUGUCUCAGCGAAGGACUCGGUGAAAGUGCAUUGGCGGUAAAGAUGCCGUCUGUCCGUACCAGGACGAAAAGACCCCAUGGAGCUUUACUACAGCUUUACAUUGAAUAUGGUUUCAACAUGUGUAGCAUAGGUGGGAGACUUUGAAGCAGAUACGCCAGUAUUUGUGGAGUCACCAAGUGAAAUACCACCCUUGUUGUAAUUGUGUUCUCACGCUGACCGUUAUCCGGUUAGCGGACCGUGUAUGGUGGGUAGUUUAACUGGGGCGGUUGCCUCCUAAAGAGUAGCGGAGGCGUUCAAAGGU
This 1835-nucleotide ribosomal RNA is filed under the name human oral metagenome. Its description in RNAcentral is "bacterial LSU rRNA". It matches the Rfam family "Bacterial large subunit ribosomal RNA", at positions 829 to 2317 of the family's 2925-position model. The record is from RNAcentral.